GAAGCUGCAACAUCUACCGACUUCCAAGACAUCAACAUUGAAAUUUGGAAGUUGAGAGUUUCAUAUCCCAAAUCCAUGCUAUACCACGGAAGUCGCAGCUAUAGAUGUUGGUCAUAGAUGAUUUUUCCAGCAAUCAAACACGCCUUUUGUUAUUAUUAGCACAUAAACUCCAAGAGAAACCAAUAUUUGAUAUGUGGAUCGAGAGAAAAGAUUUGAUUCUUCUCCAGCCGAUUUGACUGGAAAAAGGGCGCUGAUGUAAUUUUUUGAAUGCCAAAACCCUCAAAGGAAUUUUGGAUAUUUGAAAUAAAAAAAAAUUAUGGAUUUUUUUUAUAUGGUUUCUGUCUCUAAAAUGUUAAUAUACUUUCUCUUCCUAGCUCAAAUUUCGAAAUUGUUUUUUGAGAUAUAAAAUUGUCACGUGCUUUCUUUCUUCAAAAUUUAAUAUAUUUUCUCUCUCUAAAAUGUUAAGAUACUCUCUCUCUAAAACUUUAAAUUUGAUAUAGUUUCCUCUUUAAUAAUUUUGAGAUAGUUUGUCUCUCUAAAUUUUUUGAGGUAGUUUCUCUUUCUAAAAUAUGAUAUAGUUGUUCUCUCUAAAAUUCUAAAAUACUAAAAUUUAAAAUUUAAGAUAAUUUCUAUCUAAAUUUUUUGAAAUAGUUUCUUUCCAAAAAAAUUUAAGUAUUCUCUCUUUCUCUCUCAAAUUUGAUAUGGUUACUCUCUUAAAUUUUAAGAUGCUUUUCUCUCGAAAACUUAAAAUUUGAGAUAUUUUCUCACUCUAAAAUUUUG
Molecule: long non-coding RNA, 780 nt
Filed under: Amborella trichopoda
Lineage: Eukaryota; Viridiplantae; Streptophyta; Magnoliopsida; Amborellales; Amborellaceae
Description: long non-coding RNA (ATRI_LNC004331)
Source: RNAcentral